RNAcentral lists this ribosomal RNA (381 nucleotides) under uncultured bacterium. Its description in RNAcentral is "bacterial SSU rRNA". It matches the Rfam family "Bacterial small subunit ribosomal RNA", at positions 425 to 793 of the family's 1533-position model. The record is from RNAcentral.
GUAAAGCACUUUCAGUCGUGAGGAAGGUAGUGUAGUUAAUAGCUGCAUUAUUUGACGUUAGCGACAGAAGAAGCACCGGCUAACUCCGUGCCAGCAGCCGCGGUAAUACGGAGGGUGCGAGCGUUAAUCGGAAUUACUGGGCGUAAAGCGCAUGCAGGUGGUUUGUUAAGUUCAGAUGUGAAAGACCCGGGGCGUCAACCUCGGAAUAGCAUUUGAAACUGGCAGACUAGAGUACUGUAGAGGGGGGUAGGAAGUUUCAGGUGUAGCGGUGAAAUGCGUAGAGAUCUGAAGGAAUACCGGUGGCGAAGGCGGCCCCCUGGACAGAUACUGACACUCAGAUGCGAAAGCGUGGGGAGCAAACAGGAUUAGAUACCCUGGUAG